This is a non-coding RNA of Jatropha curcas, 231 nucleotides long. The record is from RefSeq and is a predicted model, not a curated record. NCBI's taxonomy places the organism in Eukaryota, Viridiplantae, Streptophyta, Magnoliopsida, Malpighiales, Euphorbiaceae.
GAUAUUUUUAUGAUACAUUGAAGAUGGUACCCCGUCUUUUACUGUUACAAAUCGGAGAGUUUAGAUAUUUUUAUGAUUAACAUCGAAGAUGAUACACGUUAAAUGAUUAUCCGUAUAGUUCAAUUCCUUCCGGUUAAAAUUCCAAAGGCGAAGAAAAAACAUGCUUUAAUGGCACCGGCGAAGAAGGGGAAAGCGAAGGCCAACUCGGCCGAUUCAAAUAAGCCAAAGCCG